This 346-nucleotide ribosomal RNA is filed under the name uncultured bacterium. RNAcentral describes it as "partial 16S ribosomal RNA". It matches the Rfam family "Bacterial small subunit ribosomal RNA", at positions 338 to 681 of the family's 1533-position model. The record is from RNAcentral.
CCUACGGGAGGCAGCAGUGAGGAAUAUUGGUCAAUGGACGCAAGUCUGAACCAGCCAUGCCGCGUGCAGGAAGACGGCUCUAUGAGUUGUAAACUGCUUUUGUACGAGGGUAAACGCAGAUACGCGUAUCUGUCUGAAAGUAACGUACGAAUAAGGAUCGGCUAACUCCGUGCCAGCAGCCGCGGUAAUACGGAGGAUUCAAGCUUUAUCCGGAUUUAUUGGGCUUAAAGGGUGCGUAGGCGGUCGGCUAAGUUAGAGGUGAAAUCCCGAGGCUCAACGUCGGAAUUGCCUCUGCUACUGUUCGGCUAGAGUGUAUUUGCGCUAGGCGGAAUGUCUUGUGUAGCGG